RNAcentral lists this ribosomal RNA (334 nucleotides) under uncultured bacterium. RNAcentral describes it as "partial 16S ribosomal RNA". It matches the Rfam family "Bacterial small subunit ribosomal RNA", at positions 338 to 669 of the family's 1533-position model. The record is from RNAcentral.
CCUACGGGAGGCUGCAGUGAGGAAUAUUGGGCAAUGGACGCAAGUCUGAACCAGCCAUGCCGCGUGCAGGAAGACGGCGCUAUGAGGUGUAAACUGCGUUUGUACGAGGGUAAACGCAGAUACGCGUAUCUGUCUGAAAGUAUCGUACGAAUAAGGAUCGGCUAACUCCGUGCCAGCAGCCGCGGUAAUACGGAGGAUUCAAGCGUUAUCCGGAUUUAUUGGGUUUAAAGGGUGCGUAGGCGGUCGGAUAAGUUAGAGGUGAAAUCACGAGGCUCAACUUCGGAAUUGCCUCUGAUACUGUUCGGCUAGCGCGUCUUUGCUUUAGGCGGUAUGU